CCCUUAGAUGUCCGGGGCCGCACGCGCGCUACACUGAAGGAAUCAGCGUGGCUUUCUCCCUGACCCGAAAGGGUUGGGAAACCCGUUGAAUCUCCUUCGUGAUAGGGAUUGGGGCUUGAAAUUGUUCCCCAUGAACGAGGAAUUCCCAGUAAGCGCGAGUCAUAAGCUCGCGUUGAUUACGUCCCUGCCCUUUGUACACACCGCCCGUCGCUACUACCGAUUGAACGGUUUAGUGAGGGCCUCGGAUUGGUCUCGGCCCGCUCUUUACCGGGCGGCGCCGUUGGUCGAGAAGACGCUCGAACUUGACCGUUUAGAGGAAGUAAAAGUCGUAACA
Molecule: ribosomal RNA, 334 nt
Filed under: uncultured eukaryote
Lineage: Eukaryota
Description: partial 18S ribosomal RNA
Rfam family: Eukaryotic small subunit ribosomal RNA
Source: RNAcentral